This 284-nucleotide ribosomal RNA is filed under the name uncultured archaeon. Its description in RNAcentral is "partial 16S ribosomal RNA". The record is from RNAcentral.
AAGUUUCAGACUUGCGUCCGUACUCCCCAGGCGGCGAGCUUAACGGCUUCCCUGCGGCACCACGAUGCCCCGAAGGCGUCGUGUCACCUAGCUCGCAUCGUUUACAGCUGGGACUACCCGGGUAUCUAAUCCGGUUCGCUCCCCCAGCUUUCAUCCCUCACCGUCGAGCGCGUUCUGGCGGACCGCCUUCGCCACUGGUGGUCUUCCGGGGAUCAAAGGAUUUUACCCCUACCCUCGGAGUACCGUCCGCCUCUCCCGCCUCCUAACCCGGCGGUAUCUCCUGC